GUGAGUCAUCGAAUCUUUGAACGCAUAUUGCGCCCCCUGGUAUUCCGGGGGGCACACCUGUCCGAGCGCCAUUUCAACCCUCAAGCUUCGCUUGGUGUUGGGCGAGGUCCCGGGGGACCCGCCCCUAACUUGUAGGCGGUCGACGCCCCGCGCCCCCAGCGUAGCACGCUCACGCACCCGCUCGGGGACGGAGCGCGGCCCGCCCGACCAACCAAAGGUUUGGCCUCGGAUCAGGUGGGGAUACCCGCUGAACUUAAGCAUAUCAAUAAGCGGAGGA
This 277-nucleotide unclassified non-coding RNA is filed under the name Pezizomycetes sp. RNAcentral's name for it is "partial contains 5.8S ribosomal RNA, internal transcribed spacer 2, and large subunit ribosomal RNA". The stretch from base 1 to 71 matches the Rfam family "5.8S ribosomal RNA", at positions 84 to 154 of the family's 154-position model. Lineage: Eukaryota; Fungi; Ascomycota; Pezizomycetes. The record is from RNAcentral.